UGAACAUUGAGCCUUGAUGUGUAGGAUAGGUGGGAGGCUUUGAAGUGUGGACGCCAGUCUGCAUGGAGCCGACCUUGAAAUACCACCCUUUAAUGUUUGAUGUUCUAACGUGGACCCGUUACCCGGGUUGCGGACAGUGUCUGGUGGGUAGUUUGACUGGGGCGGUCUCCUCCUAAAGAGUAACGGAGGAGCACGAAGGUUGGCUAAUCCUGGUCGGACAUCAGGAGGUUAGUGCAAUGGCAUAAGCCAGCUUGACUGCGAGCGUGACGGCGCGAGCAGGUGCGAAAGCAGGUCAUAGUGAUCCGGUGGUUCUGAAUGGAAGGGCCAUCGCUCAACGGAUAAAAGGUACUCCGGGGAUAACAGGCUGAUACCGCCCAAGAGUUCAUAUCGACGGCGGUGUUUGGCACCUCGAUGUCGGCUCAUCACAUCCUGGGGCUGAAGUAGGUCCCAAGGGUAUGGCUGUUCGCCAUUUAAAGUGGUACGCGAGCUGGGUUUAGAACGUCGUGAGACAGUUCGGUCCCUAUCUGCCGUGGGCGCUGGAGAACUGAGGGGGGCUGCUCCUAGUACGAGAGGACCGGAGUGGACGCAUCACUGGUGUUCGGGUUGUCAUGCCAAUGGCACUGCCCGGUAGCUAAAUGCGGAAGAGAUAAGUGCUGAAAGCAUCUAAGCACGAAACUUGCCCCGA
Molecule: ribosomal RNA, 685 nt
Filed under: Salmonella enterica
Lineage: Bacteria; Pseudomonadati; Pseudomonadota; Gammaproteobacteria; Enterobacterales; Enterobacteriaceae
Also listed under: 1 other name
Description: partial 23S ribosomal RNA
Rfam family: Bacterial large subunit ribosomal RNA
Source: RNAcentral